This 1352-nucleotide unclassified non-coding RNA is filed under the name uncultured Neocallimastigales. RNAcentral's name for it is "partial contains internal transcribed spacer 1, 5.8S ribosomal RNA, internal transcribed spacer 2, and large subunit ribosomal RNA". The stretch from base 596 to 1352 matches the Rfam family "Eukaryotic large subunit ribosomal RNA", at positions 1 to 623 of the family's 3401-position model. The record is from RNAcentral. Lineage: Eukaryota; Fungi; Neocallimastigomycota; Neocallimastigomycetes; Neocallimastigales.
AAAAUAAUCCUACCCUUUGUGAAUUUUGUUUGUUUGAAUAAUUUUUUUUUUUAAAAAAUUAUUGGAGUCUUUCCCUUUAGAGUUUGCUUUUGAGUUUGUAAAAGAAUUCGAAAACAUCUAAAGGGGAUGGUCAAUAAUUUUUUUGAAAAAAGACAUUUUUUAAAAUUAAACUUUUUGUAUUCGUUUGUCUAAAAAUUAUUUUUAUAAUAUAAAAACAACUUUUGACAAUGGAUCUCUUGGUUCUCGCAACGAUGAAGAACGCAGCAAAAUGCGAUAAGUAGUGUGAAUUGCAGAAUACGUGAAUCAUCGAAUCUUUGAACGCAUAUUGCACUUUUUUAGUUUACUAAAAAAGUAUGUCUGUUUGAGUAUCAGUAAAAUAUUCUCAUAAAAAUCAUUGUGUAUUUUUAUGGUUAUGAGUGUUUUACAACGAUACAAGUUGUUUCACUUUAAAUUUUUUUUUAAUAUUGAAAUUUUUCUAAUUUUAAUAAUUAAAAUUGGAUAAAAUUUUCCCGUCAAAAGGAAUAACCUAAACAAUUUUAAAUGAUUAAUUUUAGCAAAAUUUUCGUAAAAAAGGAAAAUUUUUAUUAAAAUAACUUGAUCUCAAAUCAGAUAAGAGUACCCGCUGAACUUAAGCAUAUCAAUAAGCGGAGGAAAAGAAACUAACAAGGAUUCCCUUAGUAACGGCGAGUGAAGCGGGAAGAGCUCAAAUUUGAAAUCUUCAAGGUUUUACCUUGACGAAUUGUAGUUUAAAGAAGUGUUUUCUGCUGAAGUUUUGGUAAAAGUUCUUUGGAAUAGGACAUCAUAGAGGGUGAGAAUCCCGUAUUUGACCAUUAUUUUCAGCUUUGUGAUACACUUUCAAAGAGUCGGAUUGUUUGGGAUGCAGUCCAAAAUGGGUGGUAAAUUUCAUCUAAAGCUAAAUAUUGGCGAGAGACCGAUAGCGAACAAGUACCGUGAGGGAAAGAUGAAAAGAACUUUGAAAAGAGAGUUAAACAGUACGUGAAAUUGUCAAAAGGGAAGCGUUUGACACCAGUGUUGUUUUCUCGAAAAUCAAUUAAAAAUGGCUCGAUUUUGUAUUGCUGAGACCUUAAAAGCUCACUGAACAUUUUUCGUGUCUUUUUUAAUGCACUUUUCGUUUAACAAGUCAACAUCAGUUUCUUUUGUUGUAAAAGGGUCAUUGGAAGGUGGCUUUCUUUUCGGAGAAAGUGUUUAUAGCCUUUGGCCUCUGCAAUCGAAGAGACUGAGGUCUGCAGCGUAGACUCUUCGGGGUUAGAUACAUUUGUGCUAAGUUAUAGCUUUUUAUAGACAACUUGUUGACUAUAAUUAGUCUUGUAGCUUACUCGCUUAUGCUAUUU